CCUACGAGAGGCAGCAGUGGGGAAUAUUGGGCAAUGGACGCAACUCUGACCCAGCAACGCCGCGUGAAUGAUGAAGGUCUUCGGAUUGUACAGCUCUUUUUUAAGGGAAGAAGAAAGUGACGGUACCUUAGGAAUAAGCCUCGGCUAACUACGUGCCAGCAGCCGCGGUAAUCCGUAGGAGGCAAGCGUUAUCCGGAAUGACUGGGCGUAAAGGGUGCUUAGGUGGUUUGACAAGUUAGUAGCUCAACUCCGGAGCUCAACUUCGGAACUACUACUAAAACUGUUAGACUUGAGUGCGGGAGGGGCAAGCGGAAUUCCUGGUGUAGCGGUGGAAUGCGUAGAUAUUAGGAGGAACACCAGUGGCGAAGGCGGAUUGCUAGACUGUAACUGACACUGAGGCACGAAAGCGUGGGGAGCAAACAGGAUUAGAUACCCCGGUAGUC
RNAcentral lists this ribosomal RNA (443 nucleotides) under uncultured bacterium. Its description in RNAcentral is "partial 16S ribosomal RNA". It matches the Rfam family "Bacterial small subunit ribosomal RNA", at positions 338 to 795 of the family's 1533-position model. The record is from RNAcentral.